Syngnathoides biaculeatus (alligator pipefish) is the source of this 1615-nucleotide long non-coding RNA. RefSeq lists it as uncharacterized. The record is from RefSeq and is a predicted model, not a curated record. NCBI's taxonomy places the organism in Eukaryota, Metazoa, Chordata, Actinopteri, Syngnathiformes, Syngnathidae. The transcript is spliced from 3 exons.
UCCUCGGUUAGCUUGCAUUUCACGAUCGUUAGUGUAGCAUGUUUGUUGCUUCAGCACCGAAGAUCAGAAACGACUUCCCGUGAGUUUGUUUUAACUUGAACUAAGACAAAAAAUGUCGACUACAACAGCUACUUGUCCAGCUGCUUUUAAAAGAAAUGUGUCAUCACUCGUGGCGAUGACGCCACCAACCCGGAAGUAGCGCGGCAGUCUGAAACAACGAUGGCUCAAUGGCUUCAGGUGGGUAUCAAAACCAUGUGAGCUCAAAUUACGUUGUGCGAGCAUAAUGGGCACAAUAAAAAAAUGGGAGAGCGCACACAAUUGAAAUGCUUGCAUUUUUUAAAAUGUGCCCAUUACGCUCGUACUACAUAGUUUGAGCUCACAUUGUUUUGAUAGCCACUUGACGCUAUAGUGAAAGCUGCUACAGAUUGGAGCCGAAUGGAGGGCAAGAGGCUGCUCUGCGGAACCAAAACUCUUGGGAUUAAAAAAAAUGUUUCCUCACAAACGCCAUGGAUGGCACAGAGGAUGACAUGCUGUGGGAGCAAAAUAGGAUCACUCUUCAUGAUUCAAUGGAGGAGGUCCUAGAACUGUACCAAGUCAUUGAUGAAUUCGACAGUGAUGCACCAAAGUUUCCUGGUCAGCAUGCUUGUGGGAUGUGGCAGCAUCACCCUUGGUCCAAACAGCAUGAUAAACUACCCUCAUUGUAUGAUAUGCCAUCUUCCUCCACUCAAGGUCUCACUUCAAUGACAGGAUUCCAAACACAGCAGAAUGCAACUUCCACUUGGGGAGAUUUGCAUCAUAGUAGGCAUCAAUGAAUGGAGAAGGAUGAAUCCACUGAGUGAAGCAAAAUGGGAGCUCUAUAUGGAAAAUAUUUUUUCAGGAAGAAUAGAGACGAUAUUUAAUCUGAAUUUGAGACAAGGAUCUAUUGUACAACAUACCCUUAAAGCUUAAGUUCAGGGGUGCCCAGAAUUUUUUACCCCAAGAUCUACUUUUCAAGGAGGCAGCUUCUUGCGAUCGACGGUGGAGGUGGGGGGUCAAGCACGGUCAAUAGGGCCUGUCACUCACUGCUGCCAACACAAGUAGCAUUAGCAGUUAAAGGUUACAUGACAAAGAUGUAAUGCAGUCAGUUAAAAUUCAUAUUUUCAUUGUUUAUAUGUUAUGUAAUAUAUGCAUGUAACUUCCAGCAAGUUGUCAACAACAGUUUGGCUAUUAAAUUAGGUUUUUUUUUUUUUUAUUUACGGGUAUUGAGCACUCCCCGAACAUACCCGAAGCUCAAGACACCAUGCUGUGGUUGUGCUAUCCACCAUAAGGACUACCACAAGUGACAUUGCAAUUGACAAACACAGUACGCUACACUCUAUACACAAUUGCAAGCAACAUGUGGAAAUAUGAGGAGGAGGAUUUCAACAUACAGCAGUACCCAAAUGAACUUGGCAUCUUCCAACCAUAUAUUUGAGGCAAUCAGGAGGUCAGAACCUGACAGUGAAGACAACGAGCUGCAAAGUAGCAGCUGGACAACAGCAAAAAGACAGGUCAAUGUGACAUUAUGGCAAAAGCUUCUCUUUUUGUAUACUCAUGGCUUGAGGUAAUGGCACCUCAGGUAUGGCAAAAUUAGUUA